AGUGAACGCUGGCGGUAGGCCUAACACAUGCAAGUCGAACGGCAGCACAGUAAGAGCUUGCUCUUACGGGUGGCGAGUGGCGGACGGGUGAGGAAUACAUCGGAAUCUACUUUUUCGUGGGGAAAACGGAGGGAAACUUACUCCUAUACCCUAAUCUACUUACCGGUGAAAUUCAGGGGUGUUCGGACCUUUUGCGGUUGAAUGAGCCGAUGUCGGAUUAGCUUGUUGGAGGGGUAAAGGCCCACCAAGGCCACGAUCCGUAGCCGGUCUGAGAGGAUGAUCAGCCACACUGGAACUGAGACACGGUCCAGACUCCUACGGGAGGCAGCAGUGGGGAAUAUUGGACAAUGGGCGCAAGCCUGAUCCAGCCAUACCGCGUGGGUGAAGAAGGCCUUCGGGUUGUAAAGCCCUUUUGUUGGGAAAGAAAAGCAGCAGGUUAAUACCCCGCUGUUCUGACGGUACCCAAAGAAUAAGCACCGGCUAACUUCGUG
Molecule: ribosomal RNA, 491 nt
Filed under: uncultured bacterium
Lineage: Bacteria
Description: partial 16S ribosomal RNA
Rfam family: Bacterial small subunit ribosomal RNA
Source: RNAcentral